GAUGAACGCUGGCGGCGUGCCUAAUACAUGCAAGUCGAGCGAACAGACGAGGAGCUUGCUCCUUCUACGUUAGCGGCGGACGGGUGAGUAACACGUAGGUAACCGACCUAUAAGACUGGGAUAACUUCGGGAAACCGGAUCUAAUACCGGAUAAUAUUUCGAACCGCAUGGUUCGAUAGUGAAAGCUGGCUUUGCUAUCACUUAUAGAUGGACCUUCGCCGUAUUAGCUAGUUGGUAAGGUAACGGCUUACCAAGGCAACGAUACGUAGCCGACCUGAGAGGGUGAUCAGCCACACUGGAACUGAGACACGGUCCAGACUCCUACGGGAGGCAGCAGUAGGGAAUAUUCCGCAAUGGGCGAAAGCCUGACGGAGCAACGCCGCGUGAGUGAUGAAGGUCUUCGGAUCGUAAAACUCUGUUAUUAGGGAAGAACAAAAGUGAAAGUAAAUGUGCACGUCUUGACGGUACCUAAUCAGAAAGCCACGGCUAACUACGUG
Molecule: ribosomal RNA, 497 nt
Filed under: uncultured bacterium
Lineage: Bacteria
Description: partial 16S ribosomal RNA
Rfam family: Bacterial small subunit ribosomal RNA
Source: RNAcentral